UACGAAGGGGGCUAGCGUUGCUCGGAAUCACUGGGCGUAAAGGGUGCGUAGGCGGGUCUUUAAGUCAGGGGUGAAAUCCUGGAGCUCAACUCCAGAACUGCCUUUGAUACUGAAGAUCUUGAGUUCGGGAGAGGUGAGUGGAACUGCGAGUGUAGAGGUGAAAUUCGUAGAUAUCGGGAGGAACACCAGUGGCGAAGGCGGCGACCUGGGCCAAUACUGACGCUGAGGUGCGAAAGCGUGGGGAGCAAACAGG
This 253-nucleotide ribosomal RNA is filed under the name uncultured bacterium. RNAcentral's name for it is "partial 16S ribosomal RNA". It matches the Rfam family "Bacterial small subunit ribosomal RNA", at positions 524 to 776 of the family's 1533-position model. The record is from RNAcentral.